This 471-nucleotide ribosomal RNA is filed under the name Triticum aestivum (bread wheat). Its description in RNAcentral is "partial small subunit ribosomal RNA". The record is from RNAcentral. Lineage: Eukaryota; Viridiplantae; Streptophyta; Magnoliopsida; Poales; Poaceae.
AUGGUUUCUGACCACCAUUCUAGAUCAUUGUGCCGCCAAGCAAGUCUUCUCCAUCCCUCCUUUUGGCGUGCAUGGGGAGAAGGGACAGCAAGCCUCCGGAACCCCGCCUCUCGUGGUCCUGUACGGGAGAGGGGCGACAAGGUUUUUGGGGAGCGCACUUUCAUGAUUGCUGGCAGCGACGACUUCGUGAAUGACAACCUCUUCCCCAACCUCGGCAACCUCAUCCUCGACGACAUGGGCGACAACAUCAACGCCGGCGGUGCUGCUCCCGCUGCAUCGUAUGUGCUUCUAUCCUUCCUGUUCGAGAUCGUGGUAGAAUUCAUGUUUCUAGUAUGUGCCCUAGAUGUCAUCUAUUCAUCUACUAUGCUAGUUCGCAUGAUUAGUUUAAUCUCUGCUAUUGCUGUCAUGAUUUAUCUUUUGUUCAUUUGGAUUAAAUCUCGUAGUAAUUUGCUCAUAUUUCCAAUAAUCUAA